UUCUGGUUGAUCCCUGCCAGUAGUCAUAUGCUUGUCUCAAAGAUUAAGCCAUGCAUGUGUCAGUACAGGCCGAUUUAAGGCGAAACCGCGAAUGGCUCAUUAAAUCAGUUAUGAUUCAUUGGAUCUCAAACCCCCUUACUCGGAUACCCCUGGUAAUUCUAGAGCUAAUACGUGCCCACUACAUCUCCGACCGCAAGGGAGGAGGGCUUUUAUUAGAUGCAGACCAACGGCGGGUUUCGGCCCGCCUCAUACUAAGUGCUGAUUCUGGAUAACUUUUUGCUGAGAGCACGGCCUCCGCGCCGGCUCCGAAUCUUUCGAGUUUCUGCCUUAUCAUGCUGUGGACUGUAGGCCAUGCGCCUACAGUGGCUGUUACGGGUAACGGGGAAUCAGGGUUCGAUUCCGGAGAGGGAGCCUGAGAAACGGCUACCACAUCCAAGGAAGGCAGCAGGCACGCAAAUUACCCAAUCCCAGCUCUGGGAGGUAGUGACGAAAAAUAACAAUGCGGGACUCAUCCGAGUCUUCGUAAUUGGAAUGAGCACACUCUAAAUCCUUUAGCAACAACCAAUUGGAGGGCAAGUCUGGUGCCAGCAGCCGCGGUAAUUCCAGCUCCAAUAGCGUAUACUAAAGUUGUUGCRGUUAAAAAGCCUCGUAGUUCGAGCUCAGUUCCGGACUGGCUGGGGAGGUUACCCGCACGGUGUUUCGCCCGGCCAGGCUCCGAACAGCCUCCCUUCAUGGGAGGCCACGCCGGUUUCCGCCGGGGUGCUCUUCGCCGAGUGUCCCGCGCGGCCGGCCAGUUCACCUUGAACAAAUCAGAGUGCUCAAAGCAGGCUACUCUUGAAUACUUAUGCCCGAAUGUUACUUGCAUGGAAUGAUGGAAGAUGAUCUCGGUUCCACUCUGUUGGCUCUGGGGAAUCCGAGUUAAUGAUAAACAGGGACGGCCGGGGGCAUUCGUACUACGACGCGAGAGGUGAAAUUCUGUGACCGUCGUAGGACGAACAACAGCGAAAGCAUUUGCCAAGAAUGUCUUCGUUGAUCAAGAACGAAAGUUAGAGGAUCGAAGGCGAUCAGAUACCGCCCUAGUUCUAACCCUAAACGAUGCCAACUAGCAAUCCGUCGUCGUUAUUCCCAUGACGCGGCGGGCCGCCACCGGGAAACCUCAAGUCUUUGGGUUCCGGGGGUAGUAUGGUUGCAAAACUGAAACUUAAAGGAAUUGACGGAAGGGCACCACCAGGAGUGGAGCCUGCGGCUUAAUUUGACUCAACACGGGGAACCUCACCAGGCCCGGACACCAGAAGGAUUGACAGAUUAAGAGCUCUUUCUCGAUUGGGUGGAUGGUGGUGCAUGGCCGUUCUUAGUUGGUGGAGUGAUUUGUCUGGUUAAUUCCGGUAACGAACGAGACUCUAGCCUACUAACUAGUCGGUGGCGGUCCGCAGCCCGGGCCCCACCGCACUGCGUCUUCUUAGAGGGAUGAGCAGCACAUAUAGCUGCCUGAGAUGGAGCAAUAACAGGUCUGUGAUGCCCUUAGAUGUCCUGGGCGGCACGCGCGCUACACUGAAUGGCUCAGCGGGUUACCCUUCUCCGAGAGGAGCGGGCAAUCGCGUCAAUGCCACCCGUGAUAGGGAUUGGGGCUUGCAACUCUUUCCCAUGAACGAGGAAUUCCCAGUAAGCGCAAGUCAUCAGCUUGCGCUGAUUAAGUCCCUGCCCUUUGUACACACCGCCCGUCGCUACUACCGAUUGAAUGAUUUAGUGAGGCCUUCGGACUGGCGGCCGCGGACCCGGGUCCCUCCGGUCUUCGGAUCGCGAGGGUCCGCCGCGGCCUGCCGGAAAGAUGCCCAAACUUGAUCAUUUAGAGGAAGUAAAAGUCGUAACAAGGUUUCCGUAGGUGACCUGCGG
This 1893-nucleotide ribosomal RNA is filed under the name Leptochela bermudensis. RNAcentral's name for it is "SSU rRNA". It matches the Rfam family "Eukaryotic small subunit ribosomal RNA". The record is from RNAcentral. Lineage: Eukaryota; Metazoa; Arthropoda; Malacostraca; Decapoda; Pasiphaeidae.